AUUGAACGCUGGCGGCAGGCCUAACACAUGCAAGUCGAACGGUAACAGGAAGAAGCUUGCUUCUUUGCUGACGAGUGGCGGACGGGUGAGUAAUGUCUGGGAAACUGCCUGAUGGAGGGGGAUAACUACUGGAAACGGUAGCUAAUACCGCAUAACGUCGCAAGACCAAAGAGGGGGACCUUCGGGCCUCUUGCCAUCGGAUGUGCCCAGGUGGGAUUAGCUAGUAGGUGGGGUAACGGCUCACCUAGGCGACGAUCCCUAGCUGGUCUGAGAGGAUGACCAGCCACACUGGAACUGAAACACGGUCCAGACUCCUACGGGAGGCAGCAGUGGGGAAUAUUGCACAAUGGGCGCAAGCCUGAUGCAACCAUGCCGCGUGUAUGAAGAAGGCCUUCGGGUUGUAAAGUACUUUCAGCGGGGAGGAAGGGAGUAAAGUUAAUACCUUUGCUCAUUGACGUUACCCGCAGAAGAAGCACCGGCUAACUCCGUG
This 490-nucleotide ribosomal RNA is filed under the name uncultured bacterium. RNAcentral's name for it is "partial 16S ribosomal RNA". It matches the Rfam family "Bacterial small subunit ribosomal RNA", at positions 30 to 507 of the family's 1533-position model. The record is from RNAcentral.